This 440-nucleotide ribosomal RNA is filed under the name uncultured bacterium. Its description in RNAcentral is "partial 16S ribosomal RNA". It matches the Rfam family "Bacterial small subunit ribosomal RNA", at positions 338 to 795 of the family's 1533-position model. The record is from RNAcentral.
CCUACGGGCGGCAGCAGUGGGGAAUAUUGCACAAUGGGGGAAACCCUGAUGCAGCGACGCCGCGUGAGUGAAGAAGUAUCUCGGUACGUAAAGCCCUAUCAGCAGGGAAGAAAAUGACGGUACCUGACUAAUAAGCCCCUGCUAACUACGUGCCAGCAGCCGCUGUAAUACGUAGGGGUCACGCGUGAUCAGGAUUUACUGGGGGUAAAGGGGGCGUAGACGGCAGCACAAUGCUGGAGGGAAAUCCCUGGGCUUAACCCCGGAACUGCUUUGGACACUGGGCAGCUGGAGUGCAGGAGGGGUAAGCGGAAUUCCUAGUGUAGCGGUGAAAUGCGUAGAUAUUAGGAAGAACACCGGUGGCGAAGGCGGCUUACUGGAUUGUAACUGACGUUGAGGCUCGAAAGCGUGGGGAGCAAACAGGAUUAGAUACCCCUGUAGUC